UGGCAAGAUGUAGGCAGUUCAGU
This 23-nucleotide microRNA is filed under the name Caenorhabditis elegans. RNAcentral describes it as "cel-miR-73-3p". Its record names the gene cel-miR-73-3p. Lineage: Eukaryota; Metazoa; Nematoda; Chromadorea; Rhabditida; Rhabditidae. The record is from miRBase by way of RNAcentral. RNAcentral also lists the same sequence under 2 other names.